AACGAACGCUGGCGGCAUGCCUAAUACAUGCAAGUCGAACGAUCGCUUCGGUGGUAGUGGCGCACGGGUGCGUAACGCGUGGGAAUCUGCCCUUGGGUUCGGAAUAACGUCGGGAAACUGACGCUAAUACCGGAUGAUGACGUAAGUCCAAAGAUUUAUCGCCCAGGGAUGAGCCCGCGUAGGAUUAGCUAGUUGGUGGGGUAAAGGCUUACCAAGGCGACGAUCCUUAGCUGGUCUGAGAGGAUGAUCAGCCACACUGGGACUGAGACACGGCCCAGACUCCUACGGGAGGCAGCAGUAGGGAAUAUUGGACAAUGGGGGCAACCCUGAUCCAGCAAUGCCGCGUGAGUGAUGAAGGCCUUAGGGUUGUAAAGCUCUUUUACCCGGGAUGAUAAUGACAGUACCGGGAGAAUAAGCCCCGGCUAACUCCGUGCCAGCCGCCGCAGUAA
RNAcentral lists this ribosomal RNA (449 nucleotides) under uncultured bacterium. Its description in RNAcentral is "partial 16S ribosomal RNA". It matches the Rfam family "Bacterial small subunit ribosomal RNA", at positions 29 to 523 of the family's 1533-position model. The record is from RNAcentral.